GCAGCUUUAGCUCAGCCGGUAGAGCGCAUCCAUGGUAAGGAUGAGGUCGUCAGUUCAAAUCUGACAAGCUGCUCUA
Molecule: transfer RNA, 76 nt
Filed under: Loigolactobacillus backii
Lineage: Bacteria; Bacillati; Bacillota; Bacilli; Lactobacillales; Lactobacillaceae
Description: Lactobacillus backii tRNA-Thr
Rfam family: tRNA
About the family: Transfer RNA (tRNA) molecules are approximately 80 nucleotides in length. Their secondary structure includes four short double-helical elements and three loops (D, anti-codon, and T loops).
Source: RNAcentral